This 465-nucleotide ribosomal RNA is filed under the name uncultured bacterium. Its description in RNAcentral is "partial 16S ribosomal RNA". It matches the Rfam family "Bacterial small subunit ribosomal RNA", at positions 338 to 795 of the family's 1533-position model. The record is from RNAcentral.
CCUACGGGAGGCAGCAGUGUGGAAUAUUGCGCAAUGGGCGAAAGCCUGACGCAGCGACGCCGCGUGAGGGAUGAAGGUCUUCGGAUCGUAAACCUCUGUCAGCAGGGAAGAACGGUCACUGUGCUAAUCAGCAGUGAAUUGACGUUACCUGCAAAGGAAGCACCGGCUAACUCCGUGCCAGCAGCCGCGGUAAUACGGAGGGUGCGAGCGUUAAUCGGAAUUACUGGGCGUAAAGCGCUCGUAGGCGGUAUGUCAAGUCAGGGGUGAAAUCCCCGCGCUGAACGUGGGAACUGCCUUUGAAACUGGCAAGCUGGAGUGUGGGAGAGGAGAGUGGAAUUCCAGGUGUAGGAGUGAAAUGCGUAGAGAUCUGGAGGAACAUCAGUGGCGAAGGCGACUAUCUGGCCCAUAACUGACGCUGAGGAGCGAAAGCGUGGGGAGCAAACAGGAUUAGAUACCCGAGUAGUC